This 547-nucleotide ribosomal RNA is filed under the name uncultured bacterium. RNAcentral describes it as "bacterial SSU rRNA". It matches the Rfam family "Bacterial small subunit ribosomal RNA", at positions 771 to 1317 of the family's 1533-position model. The record is from RNAcentral.
AGCGAAUAGAUACCCAGGUAGUCCACGCCCUAAACGAUGUCGACUGGUUGUUGGGGGUUUGACACUCUCAGUAAACGAAAGCUAAACGCGUGAAGUCGACCGCCUGGGGAGUACGGCCGCAAGGUUAAAACUCAAAGGAAUUGACGGGGACCCGCACAAGCGGUGGAUUAUGUGGAUUAAUUCGAUGCAACGCGAAAAACCUUACCUACCCUUGACAUGUCCGGAAGCCUGCUGAGAGGCGGGUGUGCCCGAAAGGGAACCGGAACACAGGUGCUGCAUGGCUGUCGUCAGCUCGUGUCGUGAGAUGUUGGGUUAAGUCCCGCAACGAGCGCAACCCUUGUCAUUAGUUGCUACAUUCAGUUGGGCACUCUAAUGAGACUGCCGGUGACAAACCGGAGGAAGGUGGGGAUGACGUCAAGUCCUCAUGGCCCUUAUGGGUAGGGCUUCACACGUAAUACAAUGGCGCGUACAGAGGGUUGCUAAGCCGCGAGGUAGAGCCAAUCCCUUAAAGCGCGUCGUAGUCCGGAUUGCAGUCUGCAACUCGACU